CGGGCGGACGGGUGAGUAACGCGUGGGUAACCUGCCUCAUACAGGGGGAUAACAGUUAGAAAUGACUGCUAAUACCGCAUAAGACCACAGCACCGCAUGGUGCGGGGGUAAAAACUCCGGUGGUAUGAGAUGGACCCGCGUCUGAUUAGCUAGUUGGUAAGGUAACGGCUUACCAAGGCGACGAUCAGUAGCCGACCUGAGAGGGUGACCGGCCACAUUGGGACUGAGACACGGCCCAA
RNAcentral lists this ribosomal RNA (239 nucleotides) under uncultured bacterium. Its description in RNAcentral is "partial 16S ribosomal RNA". It matches the Rfam family "Bacterial small subunit ribosomal RNA", at positions 95 to 334 of the family's 1533-position model. The record is from RNAcentral.